Molecule: ribosomal RNA, 1343 nt
Filed under: uncultured bacterium
Lineage: Bacteria
Description: 16S ribosomal RNA
Rfam family: Bacterial small subunit ribosomal RNA
Source: RNAcentral
GACGAACGCUGGCGGCGAGCUUAACACAUGCAAGUCGAACGGAAAGGCCCUGCUUUUGUGGGGUGCUCGAGUGGCGAACGGGUGAGUAACACGUGAGUAACCUGCCCUUGACUUUGGGAUAACUUCAGGAAACUGGGGCUAAUACCGGAUAGGAGCUCCUGCUGCAUGGUGGGGGUUGGAAAGUUUCGGCGGUUGGGGAUGGACUCGCGGCUUAUCAGCUUGUUGGUGGGGUAGUGGCUUACCAAGGCUUUGACGGGUAGCCGGCCUGAGAGGGUGACCGGCCACAUUGGGACUGAGAUACGGCCCAGACUCCUACGGGAGGCAGCAGUGGGGAAUAUUGCACAAUGGGCGGAAGCCUGAUGCAGCAACGCCGCGUGCGGGAUGACGGCCUUCGGGUUGUAAACCGCUUUCGCCUGUGACGAAGCGUGAGUGACGGUAAUGGGUAAAGAAGCACCGGCUAACUACGUGCCAGCAGCCGCGGUGAUACGUAGGGUGCGAGCGUUGUCCGGAUUUAUUGGGCGUAAAGGGCUCGUAGGUGGUUGAUCGCGUCGGAAGUGUAAUCUUGGGGCUUAACCCUGAGCGUGCUUUCGAUACGGGUUGACUUGAGGAAGGUAGGGGAGAAUGGAAUUCCUGGUGGAGCGGUGGAAUGCGCAGAUAUCAGGAGGAACACCAGUGGCGAAGGCGGUUCUCUGGGCCUUUCCUGACGCUGAGGAGCGAAAGCGUGGGGAGCGAACAGGCUUAGAUACCCUGGUAGUCCACGCUGUAAACGGUGGGUACUAGGUGUGGGGUCCAUUCCACGGGUUCCGUGCCGUAGCUAACGCUUUAAGUACCCCGCCUGGGGAGUACGGCCGCAAGGCUAAAACUCAAAGGAAUUGACGGGGCCCCGCACAAGCGGCGGAGCAUGCGGAUUAAUUCGAUGCAACGCGUAGAACCUUACCUGGGUUUGACAUGGAUCGGGAGUGCUCAGAGAUGGGUGUGCCUCUUUUGGGGUCGGUUCACAGGUGGUGCAUGGCUGUCGUCAGCUCGUGUCGUGAGAUGUUGGGUUAAGUCCCGCAACGAGCGCAACCCUUGUUCACUGUUGCCAGCACGUUAUGGUGGGGACUCAGUGGAGACCGCCGGGGUCAACUCGGAGGAAGGUGGGGAUGACGUCAAGUCAUCAUGCCCCUUAUGUCCAGGGCUUCACGCAUGCUACAAUGGCUGGUACAGAGGGUGGCGAGCCUGUGAGGGUGAGCGAAUCUCGGAAAGCCGGUCUCAGUUCGGAUUGGGGUCUGCAACUCGACCUCAUGAAGUCGGAGUCGCUAGUAAUCGCAGAUCAGCAACGCUGCGGUGAAUACGUUCCCGGG